Cinara cedri is the source of this 280-nucleotide non-coding RNA. Lineage: Eukaryota; Metazoa; Arthropoda; Insecta; Hemiptera; Aphididae. The record is from the annotation of a GenBank genome assembly.
UAUACAAUGAAAUGUAAAGACACAUUUUUUUUAGAAAUUAAUUUUAACUACAAUAAUGAUUCUAUAUAAUUUUUUGUCAAAUAUAAUUUUAAGUAGUUAUGCGACAAACCGUGACAUUAAACAUUUUUUAGUCAAACUUUGACCUUAAGUCGCCACGUGUUAACUAUGUUCCAUUAACCUCAAACUGUUCAGACACUAUUUUUAGAUGCAUUGGAACAAAUCCCCGGCCAGCGCUCUUCAAAAUUAACAACUUCAAAAAUAAGUGGCACCCUAAUAUGUA